ACUUUCCUCUUUAUAGGACUGGGUGGUUUGGAUGCUUUAAAUGAUUAAAAACAAAGGACCAGUUUCUUGCACGGUGCCACUCGCGUUGUUCUGCUUUAGAAACUACAGGACUAGAGUGGAAAAAAAACAAAAACAAGCAGAAACUGGAAAGCGAACAGGAGCAGGAAGAUGUGACUAACACACCUGCAUACCGCCUACCAAAUCGCUUUGAAUUUCCACACAAUCUAAACGACGGCGGACUUCAGCUUCCACACGGCAUGUCAAGAGCUUUUGCUUCACUACUCUGGUUUAAUUUCUAAAAAAACACAGGGUUUCACAGUUAUGGCCAACUGCUUAUCCCAGGCAAAUUAAAUUAAGCCCCUGGCAUGCAACUAAAAGUCUGUUUCGCCUAAUUGAGCAGCUAAUGGGUAUGGAUGAAUUUGAGCUACAGAUAAAAAUAUUGUUUUCAAAGAGCCUUUCUGAUUAGCAUGAUCUGAAACAGGCAAAGAAAAAUAUUUGCAGCCAUUUUUAUAAGCCUGUUCAAAUCCAUUCGUUAGGCUCAGGGAAGAUCUUAAAGGGCCCAGUCCUGUCUUUACAUGAAGUGAGCUGCUCAAGUGCUGAAAGAGGACUAAAACCCUCUACUAAACACAUUCUGACAUUCUGCUGUACCCACACCCAGCCAGUGGAAAAUGUGCCUCUGUGGAAAAUGUGGAAAAAUGUGCUCUCCCCAUUAUCAGCUUGCGUCUCCACUCGAGGACUGUGUGUCUCCAUUCCGAUGAAUUCCGCUAUUUCAUCACAUAAAUGGCCGUAGUGCCACCGUGCCACUGAAGGAACUAUCAGGGGCUUACAGCAGCGAGGAAACGAACAGCUGGGGAGCAGUCUCGGAAAUACUAACCUCCUGGAACUCGUUGCAUUCGACUUCUAGCCUUCUGCUGUGUUUGCCUGGAUGGUGCUGAAUGUCAGGGCAGAUGGCCAUUUAGCCCUAUGAAUCUCCUUCUUCAUUAUUGUCUUUUAAAAAUAAGCUUUCAUCAACAGCAAAACCAAUGUAUGUAUUAUUUUCUAUAGCUUAUAAUUAGAAAAGAAAUGCAAAAAGACAUCAUGCUUAUAGAACUCAGUUUAAAAUAAGUCGGUUAAAGAAAACCUUAGAGACAAGCUAUUUUACAUGACGGCUGUCCCCGUGACAAAGAUGCCUCACCGUCAGCCAGUAUUCCUGUACACACACAUACAAGCCUCUGCGAGCCUCGGGUUUGUCUGUUUGUUCUUCAGUUCUCAUUUUCUUUUGAGCUCUCCUGCCCAUUUAUAAUGAAAGAACAUGGGUAUUGCGUCGGAUACAGAAGGUGCACAGAUUAUGACCCAGAAGCUACCUUCCCUGAAAACUGAAGUCAGGCUGUCCUGGGGCUAAUUCUCCAGCAAAUGCAUGACUUGAUGGGCCUCUUCCACUGGCUUCACCUGGCCCACAGGUGAAUGGUCACAUCACGGUUACACGGAGCAAUUAAUCGUACCGUUUCCAGUACAUCCUGGACCUUAGGUGAGCUCCUGCUAGAAACAUUCUGUAUCCAAGUAACCUAGUUCCCAAACCUUGGUCCAGAACUGACUGUCAGGGAUGCAGACGUCACCAUCUUAAUAUCAUCUGGCCCCUCUUUUGCUGAGGUAGGAGCAUAGCGUUUGGCAGACACUUUCAAAUUUCAGAACUGUCAUGAAAUUCAGUUGAGAAAUAUCCCCCAGCCCCACCUCAAAUUCACACGUUCAAGUCCUAACCGCCGGUGCCUCAGAAGGUGACCGUAAUUGGAGACUGGAUGUUUACAGGAGAAAUCAAGGUAAGGCGAGGACACAGGGUGGGCCCUACUCCAACGUGACGGGGGCCCUGGAGACAGGUCCAGAGAGAUGGGGGGGCGGCAAAGACACAGGAGAGGGCGGCCAGCUACCAGUCAAAGAAGGAAGCCGGGACAGACCGUCCAUUCACAGCCCCGGAGGAGCCGUCCCAGCGGCCUCCAGAGCCACGAGCAAGUACAGCUCUGCGGUUUACCACCUAGUCUGUAGCACUUCGUCGUGGAAGCCCUGGAAAACCAACACGGAUAAUCGUUUAGAAGCCACGUCCCUUGCUCACGAGAACGAGACUGACCUGGAGAGGCGCCCACGUCUACCAACAGAAAUCCCCCACUCUGGGUACUGGACGGGAUUUAAACACGAAAUUCCAAUUUUUUGUGCUGUCAGUC
Molecule: long non-coding RNA, 2195 nt
Organism: Bos taurus (domestic cattle)
Lineage: Eukaryota; Metazoa; Chordata; Mammalia; Artiodactyla; Bovidae
Source: Ensembl